This 1187-nucleotide long non-coding RNA is filed under the name Anser brachyrhynchus (Pink-footed goose). RNAcentral describes it as "lncRNA (ENSABRG00000017666.1)". The record is from RNAcentral. Lineage: Eukaryota; Metazoa; Chordata; Aves; Anseriformes; Anatidae.
AUGAGUGUGGUGGCACCAAGGCCUCGCUUUGCCCUUCUGCGAGGCACUGAGGACACGGCAGGCAGCAGGGACAGAUCCUGCCUGAGAGGAGGCGUGCCCAGAGGUGCCUCAGGGAUGGACCCGACCCGCACAGCAGCGGCCACAAGGGGUGCAGUCAGUAGUUGGUCUGAUGAGGGAUGCUUCACACGGGCUGUGAAGGCCAGCGGGACAAACAGCUUCCAGCCAAGGAGAUCUCAUCAUUCUGUACUGCAGUGGAUGACACAGCCUCGGGUGCUACAAAACAUCACAAAGCUGCAAAACCACUGGACUAAGACAGUGAAGUUUUCUGCUCAUAAGAGAGCCUCAGGAGAUGGAACAUCUUGUAAAAUGGAGAUAACUGUUUUGGUUUGUUUACCUCUACUGGGAGGUAACAGGGUUGGGAGGCUCAGCAGGAGCAGCAGACACCAACCCCCUUCCUCCCUGGAAACCGCCAUGAAAGGGAAAUAAUCUUGAUCCCCAGUUUGAGUGACUGCAUCAUGUAAAAUGCCUGGAAAUUGCUGGCCAAGCAACAACAGAAAGGUAGCAUAGAAGCAUUUCUGCUGUUCACUCAGAGCUGCACCCUGUGAGCUCGCCUGCUUUUUCAAGAAGCAGAGACAGCUCUGUGUGAUGCCAGGGAGUUUACCCAGACAUUUCCAUAAGAACAGAGACAGUUGGACUAGCAAUUGUAUGCUCAAUAUUUAUAUUCCAGUAAGAGAUGAGGAGAGAGCGAGAGCCGAGCAGUGCUCCCCAUCCCUGCCCCUUCCUGUAUCCUGAGCUUCCAUAUAGUAGUGCCUGUUUAUUUGACACAAUCCAGAAAAUGUAAACAUUUAGUUUAAAAUUAGAUAGAAAACCUCUAGGGGAUCAAUGACAUAGAAACAUCGUAGAUGGUUGGGCUUACGAGGUGUGUUCCCUGAGUGAAGGAGGCAUGGAGAUGAAUGCAGUGGCUUGUUUUUCACCAAGUGUAUAUGAAUAAUGUGAUGAAGUGAUAUGAGCAUGAUGUGCCACUUGCUAGUAGUCUGUAGAGACUGCACACUCUGGUAUGCCUUGAAACCAGUUAUUUUCAUUUAAGGGGUGUGUUGGAUGCUGGAUUACGUGGUCUACAAAGGCUCUACUUUCAUAUUGUGGUGGCUCAGCCCCAGCUAACAGCCAAACUCCCAUCCAGCUGUUUG